CGGAGUGUGGCGCAGCUUGGUAGCGCAUCUGGUUUGGGACCAGAGGGUCGAGAGUUCGAAUCUCUCCACUCCGACCA
This 77-nucleotide transfer RNA is filed under the name Candidatus Liberibacter asiaticus. RNAcentral describes it as "tRNA-Pro". It matches the Rfam family "tRNA". From Rfam's summary of the family: Transfer RNA (tRNA) molecules are approximately 80 nucleotides in length. Their secondary structure includes four short double-helical elements and three loops (D, anti-codon, and T loops). Further hydrogen bonds mediate the characteristic L-shaped molecular structure. tRNAs have two regions of fundamental functional importance: the anti-codon, which is responsible for specific mRNA codon recognition, and the 3' end, to which the tRNAs corresponding amino acid is attached (by aminoacyl-tRNA synthetases). tRNAs cope with the degeneracy of the genetic code in two manners: having more than one tRNA (with a specific anti-codon) for a particular amino acid; and 'wobble' base-pairing, i.e. permitting non-standard base-pairing at the 3rd anti-codon position. Lineage: Bacteria; Pseudomonadati; Pseudomonadota; Alphaproteobacteria; Hyphomicrobiales; Rhizobiaceae. RNAcentral also lists the same sequence under 3 other names. The record is from RNAcentral.